UGGCGGACGGGUGAGUAAUGUCUGGGAAACUGCCCGAUGGAGGGGGAUAACUACUGGAAACGGUAGCUAAUACCGCAUAACGUCGCAAGACCAAGAGGGGACCUUCGGGCCUCUUGCCAUCGGAUGUGCCCAGAUGGGAUUAGCUAGUAGGUGGGGUAACGGCUCACCUAGGCGACGAUCCCUAGCUGGUCUGAGAGGAUGACCAGCCACACUGGGACUGAGACACGGCCCAG
RNAcentral lists this ribosomal RNA (233 nucleotides) under uncultured bacterium. Its description in RNAcentral is "partial 16S ribosomal RNA". It matches the Rfam family "Bacterial small subunit ribosomal RNA", at positions 96 to 334 of the family's 1533-position model. The record is from RNAcentral.